CAGAGGAAGAAGUUUUGAUGCUCCCCUUACACUCUUAACAAAAACCAGGUCAUGUCCUUGGUGAAUGUGUUCCCAAUAUAAAAUGGAAAUGUUCACAGUAAUAUGUAGCUAUAUUUGAAGCACUGAAUGGGACUUGCAGAUUGGGGGCUGCACAGACCCAGUGGGAUCUGUAGCUUCUGGGAGCUGCAAAUGUAGAACAGCAAGAGAGAUGGCCUAAUGGUUUGGGAUGGAAGAUCAUCUUGUUCCAAUUCGCCAGCCAUGGGCAGAGAACCUUUCACUACAGGACAAGUCAUACUACCAAUUCUCUUAGAAUAAACCACAUAACAUUGAUGAAGCAGCAGACCAAAUGGAGGAAGCUCUCCUGUCAGACCGGCUUUCAAAUUAAUGAGAGAAGGAAAUCAGUGCUUCAUGACAAUACACUGGGUGCUGCUAACUGUUCAGGAAAUUGUUCUGGUUUGUCCUUACUCUGGUGCUGACUCACUCUUGCUCCUUGAGCCCAUCACUGCAGACGUCUCAGGAUUAUUCAAUUCCUUUAGACAUCUCUAUGACUAAAGUUUGAUUAAAGUUUGCAGACAACUGAUAUUCAGAGCUUCUAAUUGAUGGUCCAGAAAAGAAGUAAUUUUAAAUAGUCUUGUGCCUCUAAAAAUUGUGAU
Chiroxiphia lanceolata (lance-tailed manakin) is the source of this 653-nucleotide long non-coding RNA. RefSeq lists it as uncharacterized. Lineage: Eukaryota; Metazoa; Chordata; Aves; Passeriformes; Pipridae. The transcript is spliced from 3 exons. The record is from RefSeq and is a predicted model, not a curated record.